CCGUUAACAGCUGUGGAUGGAGCCUGGUCAGAGUCAAAGAAUGAUGCUAGCACUUACAUACUUAUGGGAGGCUCAGAACCAAGGUGACAGAACAAAGUUCACGUCCUUCUUCUUUGCAAUUAUCCAUUUCUCUCCCAUUAAAGUCAUAAUUAACUGGAUUUUAUUGAAAAGUGCUAGCAGGAAGAGAAUUUGAACUUUGGGAUGAAAAACAGCAAAGAAUGAAUGAAGAAAGAAUGUUCAGUGUAUGAUCUCACCGUACCACACGUGACACACAACAACAAGAGGGGACUUGAGUUCUCUGCCCACUAUAUUCCUCUGCUCCUGCAAAUAAAAGUGAACCUUCACCAUCCACAGUAAAUGUUGUGUACUGUUUGAGAUGAAAUUUAAUCUGAUAAAGCUACAUGUAUAUCAGAUAUACAA
Molecule: long non-coding RNA, 420 nt
Organism: Chinchilla lanigera (long-tailed chinchilla)
Lineage: Eukaryota; Metazoa; Chordata; Mammalia; Rodentia; Chinchillidae
Exons: 4
Source: RefSeq, a predicted model, not a curated record